RNAcentral lists this ribosomal RNA (487 nucleotides) under uncultured bacterium. Its description in RNAcentral is "partial 16S ribosomal RNA". It matches the Rfam family "Bacterial small subunit ribosomal RNA", at positions 28 to 506 of the family's 1533-position model. The record is from RNAcentral.
GAUGAACGCUAGCGGCAGGCUUAACACAUGCAAGUCGAGGGGCAGCAUAAUGGAUAGCAAUAUCUAUGGUGGCGACCGGCGCACGGGUGCGUAACGCGUAUGCAACCUACCUUUAACAGGGGGAUAACACUGAGAAAUUGGUACUAAUACCCCAUAAUAUCAUAGAAGGCAUCUUUUAUGGUUGAAAAUUCCGAUGGUUAGAGAUGGGCAUGCGUUGUAUUAGCUAGUUGGUGGGGUAACGGCUCACCAAGGCGACGAUACAUAGGGGGACUGAGAGGUUAACCCCCCACACUGGUACUGAGACACGGACCAGACUCCUACGGGAGGCAGCAGUGAGGAAUAUUGGUCAAUGGACGCAAGUCUGAACCAGCCAUGCCACGUGCAGGAUGACGGCUCUAUGAGUUGUAAACUGCUUUUGUACGAGGGUAAACGCAGAUACGUGUAUCUGUCUGAAAGUAUCGUACGAAUAAGGAUCGGCUAACUCCGU